GAAAAUACUAAACCUAAUAGAACUUUUUAAAUAAUUUCUAAAUAAUAAUGUUAGAAAUCUAAACUUCCUAAUUAUGAUAGAAUGGAGGAUCUUAAUUUCACAAGUAAAAAUUAAAUCAAUUUAAUUCCUAAGUUUAGUCUUUCUUGACUAACAUCAUUCUCUCUUGGUUGGAGCAAACUUGAUCUUGAGUUUUGUAGUGCUGAAGAAUCAAGAGUCGAAUUUUGAGAGCAAGCAACUCUAAUCUUCUUGGAUGGUAG
RNAcentral lists this unclassified non-coding RNA (257 nucleotides) under Hevea brasiliensis (rubber tree). The record is from RNAcentral. Lineage: Eukaryota; Viridiplantae; Streptophyta; Magnoliopsida; Malpighiales; Euphorbiaceae.